CGUGAUUCAGCACUAGCGAGGGAGUGAAGAGGACGUUGGGGUUGUAAAGCUUAUAUGUCUUUGAUGUAGCAAGAAAUGUACCACAGGUGGGAAAUGACGGUUCCCAGAGAAUUAGCCCCGGCCAAAUUCGUGCCCGCAACCGCGGUUAAAAGUAGGGGGCCAGCGUUAAUCGGAAUUACUGGGCGUAAAGGGGGCGCUGGCGGUUAUUCUAGACCGGCGGGAAAUCCCCGGGCUUCACCUGGGAAAGGCGUGUGGAUCUGGAAAGCUAGAAUUGUUCAAGGGGGGGAGGAAUUCCAUGUGUAGCAGUGAAAUUGGUAGGUAUGCAGCAGAAACCCCAUGGCGGAGGCCGCCCCUUUGGCCAACAAUGACCCUCGUGCCCGAAAGCGAGGGGGGCAAACCAGGUUAAAUACCCUGGUAGUUCCCGCCCUAAACGAUGGAUUAUAGUUGGUUGGAACUUGCAGGCUCAGUAACGUAGCUAACG
RNAcentral lists this ribosomal RNA (481 nucleotides) under uncultured bacterium. RNAcentral's name for it is "bacterial SSU rRNA". It matches the Rfam family "Bacterial small subunit ribosomal RNA", at positions 382 to 857 of the family's 1533-position model. The record is from RNAcentral.